AGAGGGUGCGAGCGUUAAUCGGAAUUACUGGGCGUAAAGCGCACGUAGGCGGCUUGGUAUGUCGGGUGUGAAAUCCCCGGGCUCAACCUGGGAACUGCAUCCGAAACUGCCUUGCUAGAGUAUGGGAGAGGGAAGUGGAAUUCCGGUGUAGCGGUGAAAUGCGUAGAUAUCGGAAGGAACAUCAGUGGCGAAGGCGACUUCCUGGACCAAUACUGACGCUCAGGUGCGAAAGCGUGGGGAGCAAACAGGAUUAGAUACCCUGGUAGUCCACGCCCUAAACGAUGACAACUGGAUGUCGGGAGGGUUUGCCUUCCGGUGUCGUAGCUAACGCGUUAAGUUGUCCGCCUGGGAAGUACGGCCGCAAGGUUG
RNAcentral lists this ribosomal RNA (369 nucleotides) under uncultured bacterium. RNAcentral describes it as "bacterial SSU rRNA". It matches the Rfam family "Bacterial small subunit ribosomal RNA", at positions 527 to 896 of the family's 1533-position model. The record is from RNAcentral.